Molecule: ribosomal RNA, 254 nt
Filed under: uncultured bacterium
Lineage: Bacteria
Description: partial 16S ribosomal RNA
Rfam family: Bacterial small subunit ribosomal RNA
Source: RNAcentral
UACGUAGGGUGCAAGCGUUAAUCGGAAUUACUGGGCGUAAAGCGUGCGCAGGCGGCUUUGCAAGACAGAUGUGAAAUCCCCGGGCUCAACCUGGGAACUGCAUUUGUGACUGCAUGGCUGGAGUGCGGCAGAGGGGGGAUGGAAUUCCGCGUGUAGCAGUGAAAUGCGUAGAUAUGCGGAGGAACACCGAUGGCGAAGGCAAUCCCCUGGGCCUGCACUGACGCUCAUGCACGAAAGCGUGGGGAGCAAACAGG